AGAGUUUGAUCCUGGCUCAGGACGAACGCUGGCGGCGCGCCUAACACAUGCAAGUCGAACGAGCGAGAGAAAGCUUGCUUUCUCAAGCGAGUGGCGAACGGGUGAGUAACGCGUGAGGAACCUGCCUCAAAGAGGGGGACAACAGUUGGAAACGACUGCUAAUACCGCAUAAGCCCACAGGUCGGCAUCAACCAGAGGGAAAAGGAGCAAUCCGCUUUGAGAUGGCCUCGCGUCCGAUUAGCUAGUUGGUGAGGUAAUGGCCCACCAAGGCAACGAUCGGUAGCCGGACUGAGAGGUUGAACGGCCACAUUGGGACUGAGACACGGCCCAGACUCCUACGGGAGGCAGCAGUGGGGAAUAUUGCACAAUGGGGGAAACCCUGAUGCAGCGACGCCGCGUGGAGGAAGAAGGUCUUCGGAUUGUAAACUCCUGUUGUUGAGGAAGAUAAUGACGGUACUCAACAAGGAAGUGACGGCUAACUACGUGCAGCAGCCGCGGUAAAACGUAGGUCACAAGCGUUGUCCGGAAUUACUGGGUGUAAAGGGAGCGCAGGCGGGAAGACAAGUUGGAAGUGAAAUCUAUGGGCUCAACCCAUAAACUGCUUUCAAAACUGUUUUUCUUGAGUAGUGCAGAGGUAGGCGGAAUUCCCGGUGUAGCGGUGGAAUGCGUAGAUAUCGGGAGGAACACCAGUGGCGAAGGCGGCCUACUGGGCACCAACUGACGCUGAGGCUCGAAAGUGUGGGUAGCAAACAGGAUUAGAUACCCUGGUAGUCCACACCGUAAACGAUGAUUACUAGGUGUUGGAGGAUUGACCCCUUCAGUGCCGCAGUUAACACAAUAAGUAAUCCACCUGGGGAGUACGACCGCAAGGUUGAAACUCAAAGGAAUUGACGGGGGCCCGCACAAGCAGUGGAGUAUGUGGUUUAAUUCGACGCAACGCGAAGAACCUUACCAAGUCUUGACAUCCUGCGACGGACAUAGAAAUAUGUCUUUCCUUCGGGACGCAGAGACAGGUGGUGCAUGGUUGUCGUCAGCUCGUGUCGUGAGAUGUUGGGUUAAGUCCCGCAACGAGCGCAACCCUUACUGUCAGUUACUACGCAAGAGGACUCUGGCAGGACUGCCGUUGACAAAACGGAGGAAGGUGGGGAUGACGUCAAAUCAUCAUGCCCCUUACGACCAGGGCUACACACGUGCUACAAUGGCGUAAACAAAGGGAAGCGAGACCGCGAGGUGGAGCAAAUCCCAAAAAUAACGUCUCAGUUCGGAUUGUAGUCUGCAACUCGACUACAUGAAGCUGGAAUCGCUAAUAAUCGCGAAUCAGAAUGUCGCGGUGAAUACGUUCCCGGGUCUUGUACACACCGCCCGUCACACCAUGGGAGUCAGUAACGCCCGAAGUCAGUGACCUAACCGUAAGGAAGGAGCUGCCGAAGGUGGGACCGAUAACUGGGGUGAAGUCGUAACAAGGUA
RNAcentral lists this ribosomal RNA (1467 nucleotides) under metagenome. Its description in RNAcentral is "bacterial SSU rRNA". It matches the Rfam family "Bacterial small subunit ribosomal RNA". The record is from RNAcentral.